Molecule: non-coding RNA, 156 nt
Organism: Hordeum vulgare subsp. vulgare (domesticated barley)
Lineage: Eukaryota; Viridiplantae; Streptophyta; Magnoliopsida; Poales; Poaceae
Source: Rfam
GACUCUCGGCAACGGAUAUCUCAGCUCUCGUAUCGAUGAAGAAUGUAGCGAAAUGUGAUACCUAGUGUGAAUUGAAGAAUACCGCGAACAAUCAAAUCUUGGAACACAUGUUGCGCCCGAGGCCACUCGGCCGAUGGCACGCCUGCCUGGGUGUCA